UCUCUCUCUCUCUCUCUCUCUCUCUCUCUCUAUCUCUCUCUCUCUCUCUCUCUCUCUCUCUCUCUCUCUCUUUCUCUGUCUACAGCGAUCAGGAGGUAGGAGAAUGGCUGGAAUGAUGAAGAACAUCCCCUUGUCAUCCUCUUCCUAGGCUCCUCUGGAAUCGGGAUUCAUCUGUAUGGACAUGUCCGAAUUCUAGGAGAAGCACGAGGUAUGAUAUCAUCAACACCACUUUCCCAAAACCAGGAAGAUACUUCACAUUCCCACAACCAGGAAGAUACUUCAUAUUCCCAAAACCAGGAAGAUACUUCACAUUCCCACAACCAGGAAGAGACUUCAUAGUCCCACAACCAGGAAGAGACUUCAUAUUCCCACAACCAGGAAGAGACUUCAUGUUCCCACAACCAGGAAGAGACUUCAUAUUCCCAAAAUCAGGAAGAGACUUCAUAUUCCCACAACCAGGAAGAGACUUCAUGUUCCCACAACCAGGAAGAGACUUCAUGUUCCCACAACCAGGAAGGUCAUUGGGCUGGGAUACAUUACCUAUCUACUGUAGGGCCGUCUUACAGAUGGCAAGGGGAAGACCAUUGAGUGUAAGGACACCAUCUUCAUCAUAACCUUGAGCGUGGCCAGUGACGACAUCGCCCAGCAUGGAGGCCCAGGAGCUCAGCCGCAGGAAACUGGCCGACAACCUGGAUGAGGUUCAGAAGAGUGAUGUCACCAUCUCCAGGCAGUUUAAGGGUGCUGUGAUUCGCCCCAUACUGAAGGCCCAUUUCCGGAGAGACGAGUUUCUGGGGCGGAUCAAUGAGAUUGUCUACUUCCUGCCGUUCUGCCCCUCUGAACUGCAGCAGCUUGUCAGCAAAGAGCUCAACUUCUGAGAAGGUGGAGUGGGAGGUGGUCAUCCAACUGACAGCGGCCUACGAGCAGGAGCGCCUCUCUAAAGGCUGCACCCUCCGCCUGUCUGUCCACACAGAGGACAGGGGCGGGGCCGGGGGGCAGGAAGGGAAGGGGCAGGGCAUUAUCAGUCUGCAUCUGAAGGUAAUUGGGAAGGACAGCACAGCACGGAUACUGGAUAUACGCCCUCCUCUCAGCCCCGAUCACUAACACACAGCACGGAUACUGGAUAUACGCCCUCCUCUCAGCCCCGAUCACUAACACACAGCACGGAUACUGGAUAUACGCCCUCCUCUCAGCCCCGAUCACUAACACACAGCACGGAUACUGGAUAUACGCCCUCCUCUCAGCCCCGAUCACUAACACACAGCACGGAUACUGGAUAUACGCCCUCCUCUCAGCCCCGAUCACUAACACACAGCACGGAUACUGGAUAUACGCCCUCCUCUCAGCCCCGAUCACUAACACACUGCACAAAUACUGGAUAUACACCCUCCUCUCAGCCCCGAUCACUAACACACUGCACGGAUACUGGAUAUACGCCCUCCUCUCAGCCCCGAUCACAAACACACUGCGCGGACACUGGAUAUAUGCCCUCCUCUCAACGUAUCACCUCAUAGUAACGUCUCACCUCGUAGUAACGUAUCACCUCGUAGUAACGUAUCACCUCGUAGUAACGUAUCACCUCGUAGUAACGUAUCACCUCGUAGUAACGUAUCACCUCGUAGUAACGUAUCACCUCAUAGUAACGUAUCACCUCAUAGUAACGUCUCACCUCGUAGUAACGUAUCACCUCGUAGUAACGUAUCACCUCGUAGUAACGUAUCACCUCGUAGUAACGUAUCACCUCGUAGUAACGUAUCACCUCGUAGUAACGUAUCACUUCGUAGUAACGUAUCACUUCAUAGUAACGUAUCACCUCGUAGCCAUGAGUUGGUUUUCAUGGAGCUAAUUAGUCAAUAAGGCCCAAGAGGGUGUGGUAUAUGGCCAAUAUACCACGGCUAAGGGCUGUUCUUAUGCAUGACGCAACAUGACCAUAUACCACAAACCCCAGAGGAGCGUUAUUGCUAUUAUAAACUGGUUGGUUACCAAUGUAAUUAGAACAGUAAACAAGCCAUUUUGUGUUAUACCCGUGGUAUAUUGUCUGAGGACAGGACCCAAUCUACCCGGUUAAUAAUAAGAAUUAUAAACUGGGUGGUGCAAGCCAUGAAUGUUGAUUGGCUGACAGCUGUGAUUUGUGUGAUGUCGGGGGUUUGUGGAAUAUGACCAAUAUACCACGGCUAAGUGCUGUAUCCAGGCACUCCACAUUGAGUCGUGCAUAAGAACAGCCCUUAGCCGUGGUAUAUUAGCUAUAUACCACACCUCCUUGGGCCUUACUGCUUAAAUAGAACCUCUCAGAAGAAACACAUUGCACUGGCUGUCUGUUACUCUUCAUACUGUAUCCACAGCACACACACAUUGGUUCUGAGUCAUCUGAGUCAUGUAAACGGUGACAUUAGAAAGUAACUCAAGUUUAUGGAUGAUAAAUGAUGGAUAUCAAUAAACUGCCUCGUGAAAUGUUUCAGUAUAGUUGGAUGCAUUGCGGCCUUUGUCACAAAAAUGUUUAGUGGUGUUCGGUGGGAAUCAAUCUGACAUUGUAAAGAUAUGAAUAUUAUUUAGACACUUUAAUGUAUCCUUCACGUUUACAAGGAGCCGAGCUAAAGAAGCAACACAUUUUUCAUUGUUGCAUAUGAACCCCCAUCGUGUUGUAAAUAAAGCUGCUGUGGUC
Molecule: non-coding RNA, 2659 nt
Organism: Oncorhynchus mykiss (rainbow trout)
Lineage: Eukaryota; Metazoa; Chordata; Actinopteri; Salmoniformes; Salmonidae
Source: RefSeq, a predicted model, not a curated record